RNAcentral lists this ribosomal RNA (265 nucleotides) under uncultured bacterium. RNAcentral's name for it is "partial 16S ribosomal RNA". It matches the Rfam family "Bacterial small subunit ribosomal RNA", at positions 337 to 619 of the family's 1533-position model. The record is from RNAcentral.
UCCUACGGGGCGCAGCAGUGGGGAAUAUUGCACAAUGGGGGGAACCCUGAUGCAGCGACGCCGCGUGAGUGAAGAAGUAUCUCGGUACGUAAAGCUCUAUCAGCAGGGAAGAAAAUGACGGUACCUGACUAAGAAGCCCCGGCUAACUACGUGCCAGCAGCCGCGGUAAUACGUAGGGGGCAAGCGUUAUCCGGAUUUACUGGGUGUAAAGGGGGCGCAGACGGCAAUGCAAGCCAGGAGUGAAAGCCCGGGGCCAACCCCCGGG